AUAUCAAUAAGCGGAGGAAAAGAAACCAACAGGGAUUGCCUCAGUAACGGCGAGUGAAGCGGCAACAGCUCAAAUUUGAAAUCUGGCUCUUUCAGGGUCCGAGUUGUAAUUUGUAGAAGAUGCUUCGGGUGUGGCUCCGGUCUAAGUUCCUUGGAACAGGACGUCAUAGAGGGUGAGAAUCCCGUAUGUGAUCGGUUGCCUUUGCCUUGUGAAGCUCCUUCGACGAGUCGAGUUGUUUGGGAAUGCAGCUCUAAAUGGGAGGUAAAUUUCCUCUAAAGCUAAAUACUGGCCAGAGACCGAUAGCGCACAAGUAGAGUGAUCGAAAGAUGAAAAGCACUUUGGAAAGAGAGUCAAAAAGUACGUGAAAUUGUUGAAAGGGAAGCGCUUGCAACCAGACCUGCCUGCAGUUGCUCAUCCGGGCUUUCGCCCGGUGCACUCUUCUGCUGUCAGGCCAGCAUCGGUUCGGGCGGUCGGAUAAAGGCUUCGGGAAUGUAGCUCCUCUCGAGGAGUGUUAUAGCCCGUUGCGAAAUGCGGCCAGCCUGAACUGAGGUCCGCGCUUCGGCUAGGAUGCUGGCGUAAUGGUUGUAAGCGG
This 592-nucleotide ribosomal RNA is filed under the name uncultured fungus. Its description in RNAcentral is "eukaryotic LSU rRNA". It matches the Rfam family "Eukaryotic large subunit ribosomal RNA", at positions 40 to 647 of the family's 3401-position model. Lineage: Eukaryota; Fungi. The record is from RNAcentral.